AGCCCUGUGGUGAGACACAUCGGAUUGCAAAUCCGAAGACGUAGAUUAAUACUCUGCCGGGGCUU
RNAcentral lists this transfer RNA (65 nucleotides) under Cyclocheilos enoplos. RNAcentral's name for it is "tRNA-Cys". It matches the Rfam family "tRNA". From Rfam's summary of the family: Transfer RNA (tRNA) molecules are approximately 80 nucleotides in length. The record is from RNAcentral. Lineage: Eukaryota; Metazoa; Chordata; Actinopteri; Cypriniformes; Cyprinidae.